This is a long non-coding RNA of Octopus sinensis (East Asian common octopus), 160 nucleotides long. RefSeq lists it as uncharacterized. The transcript is spliced from 3 exons. The record is from RefSeq and is a predicted model, not a curated record. NCBI's taxonomy places the organism in Eukaryota, Metazoa, Mollusca, Cephalopoda, Octopoda, Octopodidae.
CCUCCUGCACAAAUGAAAAUUCAUGAACUGACCUUGGAGGACCGUCACUGAACAACUGAAGAACUUGUUGAUAUGACUCGUGUGUCCUGGAACUCCUUCCAACGAACUUUGAACGAGGAAUUGCGAAUGAAAAGAGUUGCAGUAAAAUUUGUGACUCGCU